CACUGUCUUAUUUACAAUGAAAAUGACGCCGUUUGCGAAUAAUUAAAUAUCAGACGUCAUUAUGAAUCUAAACAUGGAACUUUAAAAGUGGCCUCCCGCUCCAGACAGAAGCGUUAACUGCAAGCUACACACAUGGCUUUUAUGGCUGACCAAUUCUGUCACUUAAACGGGUUAAAUCUGCAGUUAUAAGGAAGAGGGAAAAGCGUGAGACCUUUACUAGGAAGCUUGAGUUGUUUGAUUUUUAUUUGUUAGGCUAUUGCACUUAAGCACAAUGAAGAACGCCAGGCAGAGGGACCAGACAACUUCUCCACCAGAUUUGAUGACUACAGCAUGCCCAAGGAUAUCAUUGCGUUUGUACGUGAUGCUUUCAAAGUCUGCCCAGGAACAAGCUAUCCCGAUACAGUUGUCACGCCCUGAUCUGUUUCACCUGUUCCUGUGAUUGUCUCCACCCCCUCCAGAGUUCUCCUGGUUCUGACCCCCACCUGACUCUGCACUACUUUCCUGCCUGCCUGAUCAUCCUGCCUGCCCUUCGGUACCUAUUGGAUUCUGAUCUGGUUUUGACCUUUUUCCUGUCCUUGACUUUUCUGUUGCCUACCCCUUUGGAUAAAUAAACAUUCUAAGACUCCUACCAUCUGCCUCCUGUGUGUGCAUCUGGGUCUCCUCUUGUGCCUUGAUACAGACAUUUGCUUUUUUCUUUAAUUGAUUGUUUUAUGUAGGAUGCUGUGUUUUUGGCCAGUUGCAAUUGUAAAUAAGCCUA
Molecule: non-coding RNA, 757 nt
Organism: Oncorhynchus mykiss (rainbow trout)
Lineage: Eukaryota; Metazoa; Chordata; Actinopteri; Salmoniformes; Salmonidae
Source: RefSeq, a predicted model, not a curated record